UGCAGUUAAAAGCUCGUAGUUGGAUUUCGGAAGGUCCUUAGUAAUCCGCCCCUUCGGGGAGCGGGUUACUGGCCUCCUAUGUUCCUAACGGUCCUCAUCCGCGAGGGUGGGGAAUCAACCGCUAGGAUCGUUUACUUUGAGGAAAUUAGAGUGUUCAAAGCAGGCGUAACUCGCCUCCGAAUACGUUAGCAUGGGAUAAUGGAAUACGACUUCGGUCUUGUUUCGUUGGUUUCGCUUGGCUGAAGUAAUGAUUGAUAGGGACAGUUGGGGGCAUUAGUAUUUAGUUGUCAGAGGUGAAAUUCUAGGAUUUACUAAAGACUGACCAAUGCGAAAGCAUUUGCCAAGGAUGUUUUCAUUAAUCAAGAACGAAAGUAGGGGGAUCGAAGACGAUCAGAUACCGUCGUAGUCUCUACCGUAAACUAUGCCGACCAGGGAUCCGGAGAGUUUGCAUGGAUGACUCCCCGGGCACCUUGUGAGAAAUCAUAAGUGUUUGGGUUUUGGGGGGAGUAUGGUCGCAAGGCUGAAACUUAAAGGAAUUGACGGAAGGGCACCACCGGGAGUGGAACAAGCGGCUUAAUUUUACUCA
Molecule: ribosomal RNA, 586 nt
Filed under: Vermamoeba vermiformis
Lineage: Eukaryota; Tubulinea; Echinamoebida; Vermamoebidae
Description: SSU rRNA
Rfam family: Eukaryotic small subunit ribosomal RNA
Source: RNAcentral